RNAcentral lists this ribosomal RNA (507 nucleotides) under uncultured bacterium. Its description in RNAcentral is "partial 16S ribosomal RNA". The record is from RNAcentral.
GGAGUUAGCCGGUGCUUCUUCUGUGAGUGAUGUCCUUCCUGCCGGUUAUUGACCCGCAGGCCUUCUUCCUCACUGAAAGUGCUUUACAACCCGAAGGCCUUCUUCACACACGCGGCAUGGCUGGAUCAGGGUUGCCCCCAUUGUCCAAUAUUCCCCACUGCUGCCUCCCGUAGGAGUCUGGGCCGUGUCUCAGUCCCAGUGUGGCUGAUCAUCCUCUCAGACCAGCUACGGAUCGUCGCCUUGGUGAGCCGUUACCUCACCAACCAGCUAAUCCGACAUAGGCUCAUCCGAUAGCGCGAGGCCCGAAGGUCCCCCGCUUUCCCCCGUAGGGCGUAUGCGGUAUUAGCCUGGGUUUCCCCAGGUUAUCCCCCACUACCGGGCAGAUUCCUAUGCAUUACUCACCCGUCCGCCGCUCGCCACCAGGGAGCAAGCUCCCCGUGCUGCCGCUCGACUUGCAUGUGUUAGGCCUGCCGCCAGCAUUCAAUCUGAGCCAUAAUCAAACUCUGA